GCCGGGGUGUUGGAAUGGCAGACAAUCCAGUCUCAAAAACUGGUGGGGGCAACCCCAUGAGGGUUCAAGUCCCUCCCCCGGCA
This 83-nucleotide transfer RNA is filed under the name Candidatus Omnitrophota bacterium. RNAcentral describes it as "Candidatus Omnitrophica bacterium tRNA-Leu". It matches the Rfam family "tRNA". From Rfam's summary of the family: Transfer RNA (tRNA) molecules are approximately 80 nucleotides in length. Lineage: Bacteria; Pseudomonadati; Candidatus Omnitrophota. The record is from RNAcentral.